CAGAUCUGAAGAUCAAAGCUUAUUUAGUCUGGGAACACUUAUUAAAGAAAAUGUCAUUUGUGUUCAAAAUAAUAACUUGUAACUCUUCCAGAACUGUUUUUCACCUAAUCGGAUUCAUCCUUACAAAGGAAAUUCCAAAGAGAAAAAUCUGGAACUUUUGGCCUGGUAUGUGUGUGCAGAGACCAGAUGGCUGCCAGAUUUUAAACAAAGAAGCAAAGGCAAGGAAUUAAACUGAAGAAGAAGAAGAAAUGAAGAGAGCGAGAGCACAACCUUUGAGAACACUCACAGGUGUUCUCAUGUUGUCUCAGCAGGAUUUUAGGUCAUUGGAGACAGCUUUUGUCCUCUUCAUGUUUUUUUUCUUCUGUAGUUAGGAAAACAAGUGUCACUUUGUUAUGUGAAAAAUUGUAAGGACUUAAAGCUCAUGGAUAUGGCAGACCAGGAGAGGAGUGCCAAUGAGAGAACACGUCACUCUUCUUAAUUCCACUACAGUAUGUAUGUGCAUAUGUCUUUGUGUGUAUCUGUGUAUGGCUGCACGUGAGUAUUCGGAAUUUUGUCCCUUGACUCCAGAUAAGACUAUUUCAGAAAAUCCAACAUAUGGCAAUUACAUUAAAUAUGGUAUAUUAAAAUAGAGAAUUGACUCAGAAGUGAGAUUUGAUGGGGAAAACAGAAUGAGUGGAAACUGAUUUCAAUUGAUUUGGUAAAAUCACUAAGGAGUCAGUUUAUUUAAAUCCCCAUGAUUCUGUCUAUAUUCAAAACCUGUCUUACAAAGAAUGCACUUGAACAUGCAUUUGAAGACAACAUACGGAAGAACAUGCUUUUGUAACCUGCCCAGGUCUGAGAUCAGGGAGAUAUUCCACUCUUUUCUCAGUAAUGUCUUGCCUAUAACCUUAACCUUGAGGAGAGAUUGUUUCCAGCUGACCUGCGCAGCUAUAGUUAUAAUGGCUGUAGGAAUCUUAAGAAAUCAGUGGCAUUUUAUGUGGUUCUCAUUGCUGUAUAAUUCCUUCUAACUCUUUUGUUCUUGUAUGUUUCUUCUAGUAACUUUUCAUUAACAUUUAUUAUAGCCCGAGGCUGGCUAAGUCCAGGAGACACUUCUGUUUAUAAACCCACACCUCUUCCCUUCCAGCUCGACAUCUGCACCAGCUCACAGCUCAUUGUGAGUCACUUGCAGAACUGCAAAUGAUAAAGAUUAUAAGCUCAGCUGGCUCUAUUUUCGCUGGAAGAAGGACAAAACUAUGAUCAACAAAGCAUCCAUAAAAAAUAAAGAAAAGAGCAAAUCCCGUGAGUUUUUUUCCCCCUCAGCUUGUUCACUGAAGAAAUGGAAAUAGAAUCCUAUGGGAAUUAACUUACUGCCCUUUCAGUUUGAAUCAGAAGAAGGUACAAGCGUGUAGUAGCUGGUGUUGUGUGUUAACCUGACACAGCUGGAGCCAUCAGAGAGGAAGGCGCCUCAGUGGAGGAAGAUGCUCUGUGAGAUCUAGCAGUACAUCAUUUUCUCAAUUAGUCAUCAGUGAGGGAGGGUCCAGUCCAUGGUGGGUGGUAGUCCUGGGUUCUGUAAGAAAGUAGGCUGAGCAAGCCAUGA
Molecule: long non-coding RNA, 1576 nt
Organism: Arvicola amphibius (Eurasian water vole)
Lineage: Eukaryota; Metazoa; Chordata; Mammalia; Rodentia; Cricetidae
Exons: 3
Source: RefSeq, a predicted model, not a curated record